RNAcentral lists this small RNA (67 nucleotides) under Streptococcus parasanguinis. RNAcentral's name for it is "Streptococcus sRNA Spd-sr37". It matches the Rfam family "Streptococcus sRNA Spd-sr37". The record is from RNAcentral. Lineage: Bacteria; Bacillati; Bacillota; Bacilli; Lactobacillales; Streptococcaceae.
CAAUAGAAAUGAUGGUCAAAGCUCAUGGAUGUUGCAGGCUUUUUUUGUCCUGCACUUCUCAGAGUUU